CGUACCUUUUGUAUAAUGGGUCAGCGACUUAUAUUCUGUAGCAAGGUUAACCGAAUAGGGGAGCCGAAGGGAAACCGAGUCUUAACUGGGCGUUAAGUUGCAGGGUAUAGACCCGAAACCCGGUGAUCUAGCCAUGGGCAGGUUGAAGGUUGGGUAACACUAACUGGAGGACCGAACCGACUAAUGUUGAAAAAUUAGCGGAUGACUUGUGGCUGGGGGUGAAAGGCCAAUCAAACCGGGAGAUAGCUGGUUCUCCCCGAAAGCUAUUUAGGUAGCGCCUCGUGAAUUCAUCUCCGGGGGUAGAGCACUGUUUCGGCAAGGGGGUCAUCCCGACUUACCAACCCGAUGCAAACUGCGAAUACCGGAGAAUGUUAUCACGGGAGACACACGGCGGGUGCUAACGUCCGUCGUGAAGAGGGAAACAACCCAGACCGCCAGCUAAGGUCCCAAAGUCAUGGUUAAGUGGGAAACGAUGUGGGAAGGCCCAGACAGCCAGGAUGUUGGCUUAGAAGCAGCCAUCAUUUAAAGAAAGCGUAAUAGCUCACUGGUCGAGUCGGCCUGCGCGGAAGAUGUAACGGGGCUAAACCAUGCACCGAAGCUGCGGCAGCGACGCUUAUGCGUUGUUGGGUAGGGGAGCGUUCUGUAAGCCUGCGAAGGUGUGCUGUGAGGCAUGCUGGAGGUAUCAGAAGUGCGAAUGCUGACAUAAGUAACGAUAAAGCGGGUGAAAAGCCCGCUCGCCGGAAGACCAAGGGUUCCUGUCCAACGUUAAUCGGGGCAGGGUGAGUCGACCCCUAAGGCGAGGCCGAAAGGCGUAGUCGAUGGGAAACAGGUUAAUAUUCCUGUACUUGGUGUUACUGCGAAGGGGGGACGGAGAAGGCUAUGUUGGCCGGGCGACGGUUGUCCCGGUUUAAGCGUGUAGGCUGGUUUUCCAGGCAAAUCCGGAAAAUCAAGGCUGAGGCGUGAUGACGAGGCACUACGGUGCUGAAGCAACAAAUGCCCUGCUUCCAGGAAAAGCCUCUAAGCAUCAGGUAACAUCAAAUCGUACCCCAAACCGACACAGGUGGUCAGGUAGAGAAUACCAAGGCGCUUGAGAGAACUCGGGUGAAGGAACUAGGCAAAAUGGUGCCGUAACUUCGGGAGAAGGCACGCUGAUAUGUAGGUGAAGUCCCUCGCGGAUGGAGCUGAAAUCAGUCGAAGAUACCAGCUGGCUGCAACUGUUUAUUAAAAACACAGCACUGUGCAAACACGAAAGUGGACGUAUACGGUGUGACGCC
Molecule: ribosomal RNA, 1274 nt
Filed under: Escherichia coli
Lineage: Bacteria; Pseudomonadati; Pseudomonadota; Gammaproteobacteria; Enterobacterales; Enterobacteriaceae
Description: partial 23S ribosomal RNA
Rfam family: Bacterial large subunit ribosomal RNA
Source: RNAcentral